AUACGGAGGAUGCGAGCGUUAUCCGGAUUUAUUGGGUUUAAAGGGAGCGUAGGCGGGAGCUUAAGUCAGCGGUUAAAUGGUGCGGCUCGACCGGGCCCUGCCGUUGAAAAUGGGGUUCUUGAGAGGGGAAGAGGCGGGUGGGAUUUCUGGGGGAGCGGGGAAAUGCUUAGAUAUCAUGAAGAACUCCGAUUGCGAAGGCAGUCCGCUGGGGCACGUCUGACGCUGAUGCUCGAAGGUGCGGGAAUCAAACAGGAUUAGAUACCCUGGUAGUCCGCACGGUAAACGAUGAUUACCCGCUGUCGGCGGUAGACAGUCGGCGGCCAAGCGAAAGCGAUAAGUAAUCCACCUGGGGAGUACGCCGGCAACGGUGAAACUCAAAGGAAUUGACGGGG
This 392-nucleotide ribosomal RNA is filed under the name uncultured bacterium. Its description in RNAcentral is "partial 16S ribosomal RNA". It matches the Rfam family "Bacterial small subunit ribosomal RNA", at positions 523 to 918 of the family's 1533-position model. The record is from RNAcentral.